GGCUGUAGCUCAGUGGUAGAGCAUUUGGCUUGCAUGUGUGAGGUUCCACAUAAAAAUAAAUAAAUAAGGAUAUUGUGUCCCUCUACAACUAAAAAAAUUUUAAAAGGGUGGCAGGCUCAGUGGUUAAGUAAGCACCCCUAGGUUCAAUCCCUAGUACCA
This 159-nucleotide transfer RNA is filed under the name Marmota monax (woodchuck). Its description in RNAcentral is "tRNA.Ala". The record is from RNAcentral. Lineage: Eukaryota; Metazoa; Chordata; Mammalia; Rodentia; Sciuridae.